Long non-coding RNA from Cercocebus atys (sooty mangabey), 1047 nucleotides. RefSeq lists it as uncharacterized. NCBI's taxonomy places the organism in Eukaryota, Metazoa, Chordata, Mammalia, Primates, Cercopithecidae. The transcript has 3 exons. The record is from RefSeq and is a predicted model, not a curated record.
CCAGCAGGGGUCCGACACGUGGCCGGAGGAGGGCAGGGCCAGAGUGCGGCAAAGGUAGUGACUGCCGCGGAAGGGAGGUUUGUUGGGAUCUGGAGUCCCGAGGGGAGAGGGAGGAAGAUUGCGACUUUGAAAGAACCUAGAAGAGGAUGGAAUUGUUAAAACAAAUGGAAUAUUUGCUCAUUUAACAAGCCUUUGUUGAAUAUUUUCUCCGUGGAAGGCAUUGUGAUUCUUUUCUUGAUUCAAUGGAUAUUUCUGAGCCCCUAGUUUGUACCAGACACUGUACUUACGCUUUUUGAGAUAUCCAAAAAUGUUCGUCCUCUCAGAGGUUAUACUCUAGUUGGGGAACUUACAUAGCUAAGGCAGGGAGUGUUUGCGCCGCCAGCCAUCCGCAGCUGGGACUUGAUGUUGCUGGAAUGUAACUGUUACAGAGGUGCUAACAGUGAAAAAGAGAGAAAAACAAAGAAAAUCUAUGGAAGUUUAGUAUGACACAACAGAGGCUACGUUCACAGCACGCUACCUGUUUGGUAUCCUGGUUCACUAGCAUCAGUGCGCGUGUUCAUGCCGACACUUGGAUGGCUUUAUGUCACUUAGUGCACGCAUUUUUUAAAUUCUCCUUCAUCAAUGGCUAAGCCAUUGAUAUUUUUCCAUCCCCCGUUUUGUUCCCAAGUUCGCGUCUGCAAUUGUUUGAAAAUUACAUAAAACCCUAGUAUUUUUAAUUCUCUCCAGGGAAUGACUGGAGAGGGAUACUUCUGUCCAUGCCUCUAUCUUUCUCUCCCAAUAUCUUUUUGGCUUUCUUUUUUCUUGUCCCCACCACUUUACCAGUUAAAAAAUUUCUGGGAAAAAGUGAACAGGAGUCACCGGAUAUUGGCUUAAGAAGAACCUUAGCACGCAACCGUAUUUCAGGACCACGGACAGUGACACCGCGUGCUCUUACCACCAAGCGUUUUUCUUAGACUGCCUAUGGAAACAGGAGAAACACGCUAAAGAAAGCACACGUUGUGCUUCAUGAAAUCGCUGUGACUGCUAUAUGGAGAAGUGACGUAGGGG